This 253-nucleotide ribosomal RNA is filed under the name uncultured bacterium. RNAcentral describes it as "partial 16S ribosomal RNA". It matches the Rfam family "Bacterial small subunit ribosomal RNA", at positions 524 to 776 of the family's 1533-position model. The record is from RNAcentral.
UACGAAGGGGGCUAGCGUUGCUCGGAAUCACUGGGCGUAAAGGGCGCGUAGGCGGAUCUUUAAGUCGGGGGUGAAAGCCCAGGGCUCAACCCUGGAAUUGCCUUCGAUACUGAAGAUCUCGAGACCGGAAGAGGUAAGUGGAACUGCGAGUGUAGAGGUGAAAUUCGUAGAUAUUCGCAAGAACACCAGUGGCGAAGGCGGCUUACUGGCCCGGUUCUGACGCUGAGGCGCGAAAGCGUGGGGAGCAAACAGG